This is a long non-coding RNA of Dreissena polymorpha, 950 nucleotides long. RefSeq lists it as uncharacterized. NCBI's taxonomy places the organism in Eukaryota, Metazoa, Mollusca, Bivalvia, Myida, Dreissenidae. The transcript has 2 exons. The record is from RefSeq and is a predicted model, not a curated record.
AAAACGUGUUUCGGAAUCCUAAUUUCGACAAAAGCCCCACACAAUAGAAAACACACCCUCAAAAGUUCAUCUUUUAAGUUAGCUUCCAAUCCAAGGCAUCAAAGUACUCCAGACACAUACAGGAUAUUACAAAUAACCACAAAAUACAUGUCUCACAUUGUUAAAUGGCUUAUAUUCAAGAAGAGAAAAGGAACUCUUUAGAAAUAGGCACUACUUUCGAAUGGACCACGGAGGGAUACACAAUGAUUUAGUGUAAUGUAACCUUUAAGGGAACUCAACUUUGUCCUAUCUUUUUCAAACUUUCUCCACAUGAGAUUUCAACUAUUUCCACAAUGAAUAUGCAAUUUCAGUGCAUUCGGAUGGGGGUAAAGGCCUUAAAAUGGCCAUUUAAAGCGGUGACUAAAUUGGCCGCAGUCAAGUCGGAAUGCAUGAUUUUUAGUCUAAGUGACGACAGCUGAUUUUGCGUCUCCAAUUAUUGUUACGCGUAACUUUCAUGGCAAAAACUGGUAUCAUUGCAUGCGAAAUUCACCAAUAUAUCAGCAAAAGGCCCAAAUAAAUGUAUUGAUUGUGAAUCAGUGUACUUUUCUUGAUGAAAUAGGAGACUUUUUUUUAAAUUUUAAGCACUUUUUUCAAUAAAAAACUCACUGACAGCAUAUAAAAUCAUGUUUUUUAAGAAAAUUAUUAUUAAAAGCUUCACUUACAAUCUAAACAUACACAUUGCAAUUACAAAAAUUAAUGCUAUUAUGAUGAGAGGCAUAAUUUUCAGCUUUCAAGCUGAUACAAGCCGGCUACCCAAAAUUAACACUUAAAAAGGCGCAAAUCGCUCCUUCAACAGCUUACGACACAAAGUGACACUUAAUGCGCAUCCAGAUAGUCUCUCUCAUAUAAAUAAGUCCUGUUAGCGACAUUUUAUUAAGUAUUCUCUUUAAAAUCCAGUGUUGAAAGCGUAA